Molecule: long non-coding RNA, 570 nt
Filed under: Numida meleagris (helmeted guineafowl)
Lineage: Eukaryota; Metazoa; Chordata; Aves; Galliformes; Numididae
Description: lncRNA (ENSNMEG00000017408.1)
Source: RNAcentral
GCACUCCCAAACAGAAGACUUUAACACAUGUUGGAGCUACUGUACUUGAUGAACAGGUUUACUCCUUUAAGCUAUGAAUGCUUUGGCAGAACCAGGAAGAUUUUUUGCACUUCUGGCUUAUCAGUGUGGUGUGGCUUCAAGGACAACUUCGUCAGUGGGAAGAAAGGAAGGACACCAACACUUUCUGAAAUAGAGCAGAAAAUUGGGGUCGUUCUCCCUGUCCUGUCCUCCUCAACACAGCACACUCAAACGAUCAGAAGCGUUCAUAUUUCUGGAGCCUGGUCAGCUCUCUUUGCACAAUGUAGAUUUGCUGUGAAGGCCGGAUUCAAGCCAGCUGGUUUGGCUGAACAAGAUGAGGGGAGCACAGAGCUGUGUCAUCAUGCCAAAGCUAGCCGGAACAGUUUGUCAGCCCAUGGUCCACUUACGAUGCAAAGACCACAUGCUAAGGCAGACCUCCUCCUGCACACCUGCUAGGUCUGCUAAAAGAGGAGGAAGCUAACUUCUGUACUGGCAACUGAAGGACACUUUCAAUACUUUCAGAGUUACCAAGUCAGUUAUAUUAAAUCCCUG